UGGAACAGGACCUUAAUUAGUCUCAUGGGCAACACCUGUGUUCACUCUAAUUUUAUUGGUUUUCAGGUGCCACGGUAAGCACGCUGGUUAGCGUGGUGGAGGUAGGCGCACCUUUUACCGGACUGCUUCAACAGCACAUAAUUUGCUUCGUCAUAGCAGGAAACUCGUUUAUUAAUGUGCGUGCUAGUACUAAUAGACUGAGCCGUCGUUACUGUUCUAUUGUUCUUCCUGUUUUUACAGGUAAAAAUAUCAUUUAUCUGUGCAACCAGUCCACUGCACAAUGUCAAAGGUCGAGCUACAAUAGUCAAAAUCCUGCUUUACUGAAACAACAGAUCUAUUUUUGGUUAUUUUAAGUUGCGCUGAAUCGACUGUCCCCUCGGCUAUAAUGCUAAGGUAGACAGCAGCCUACAAAGCAGCCUGCCACUUCCCCCUUGCAUCAAUAUGAAAAGCCUUAAUAGAAAUGGUUCCAUGGUUCCAAGCUUCACAAUUGUUCCGGAGGACUGCUAUGCCACAAUGUCUUCAAACCCUGACGACCCCAAGUGAUCCUUCCUCAUUUAUAACAGGUGUCCUGCUGACCAACGACGCGUGACAGUGGUUGAGAACGGUGUAUCACGCUGUGCUCGUUUCUCUGUCCUGCUCUUCCCUCUCCAUGGUGACAACUCAUGCAUCUUCCUUUAUUUCAAAAUAAGGCUAUGUGACAAGAGGAACACAAACUGCAUUCCACUCAUAGUUUUGCAGAAAGAGGAUAUAUCGCUCUGUUUCCAACACACCUGAGCUCAACCCACUCACCAUUGGACCAAUCACUUGUCAUUUUUAGCUUGUUAUGUCUAAACCUAAUAUAUGUAUACUCUUUGCCUUUGUCUACAUGUGUAACAAAAUGUUAAAAAACAUAA
Long non-coding RNA from Larimichthys crocea (large yellow croaker), 893 nucleotides. RefSeq lists it as uncharacterized. NCBI's taxonomy places the organism in Eukaryota, Metazoa, Chordata, Actinopteri, Sciaenidae. The transcript has 5 exons. The record is from RefSeq and is a predicted model, not a curated record.